CCUGCUCUUCCGGAUUUGGCGGGCUCUUUGCCAAAAGCCCAGAGCUGUUUUCCUCAGGCAGUGCAAAGAGAAAAGUGCAGAAGUCCCAGCCUACGGUUGUGUAAACCUCUCGCGCCAUGCGGUACCUAACGUGCCUGCUGUUUUGGGUGUUUCCGUGGGUCUGGGUACAAUCUGAAGCCCAGCAAAAGAAUUUCCCCUUCCGCUGCCUGCAGAUCUCUUCCUUCCCAAACAGUAGUUGCUCAAGCACAGAUGGCUUGGCCUGGCUGGGGGAUCUGCAAACGCACCGGUGGAGCAAUGCCUCAGACACCAUUGACUUCGUGAAGCCCUGGUCCCCGGGCAAAUUCAGUGACCAACAGUGGAAGAACUUGCAGCGUAUAUUUCAAAUUUAUCGAUUAAGCUUUACCAGGGACAUACGGGAAUUUGUCAAAAUGGUGCCUAAUAUACACUAUCCUGUUGAGAUCCAGUUGUCUGCUGGGUGUGACGUGUACUCUGAGAACGUUUCGGAAAGCUUUUUCUAUGCAGCAUAUCAAGGGGAAUAUAUCCUGAGUUUUCAUGGAACUUCCUUUCAGAAGGCCCCAGAUGCCCCACCUUGGACAGCGUUUGUCAUUGAAGUGCUCAACGGUGAUCGUGGGACAUUGGAAACGCUGCAAUGGCUUCUGUACGACCUCUGCCCCCAGUUUGUCCAUGGCCUCCUGGAGGCAGGGAAGUCAGAGCUAGAGAAGCAAGAGAAGCCUGUGGUCUCGUUGUCCAGUGGCCUCAGUCCUAAGCAUGGUCAUCUACAGUUGGUGUGUCAUGUCUCUGGAUUCUACCCAAAGCCUGUGUGGGUGAUGUGGAUAAAGGAUGAGCAGGAGCAAAAUAGUACUCAGAGGAGUGACUACCUGCCCAAUGCUGAUGAGACAUGGUAUCUCCGAGCAACCCUGGAUGUGGAGGCUGGAAAGGAGGCUGGCCUGGCCUGCUGGGUGAAACACAGCAGUCUACGAGGACAGGAUAUCAUCCGCUAUUGGGAGCAGAUGGCAGAAAUUUAUCCACGGGUUUGAUCGUCGGUCUAGUAUUACUAGCAGUACUAAUAUGUGCUAUAAUCUAUUAUGUGUUCUACACCAAGAAGCGCUGCUCCUAUCAAGACGUCCUGUAGGUCUUCCUUACACCUGCCUUUCCUGAGACUCAGACCAUCCAGCUUCUCGGACUUCAGUCCUGGUUGCUGAGGAACCGAGGAGAAUAAAAGAGCCUUGAAGAAAGUGAAGAGCAACCCGCGCACCUUUCAACAUGUACUUUAAAAAUUAAUUUCUUUUUCAUUGUGUUACAAGUUUAUAAAAGCCCAGGUGGUUUGGAACAAACACAAUUGCAAAUACACAUACCUGCCAAGAACGAGCUGUGGGCAGUAUUUUAUGGGAUUUGCACUGAACUGGAAAGCACAGAUCCUGCCCAAACCAAUGGUUCCAAGUUUGUUGAAAAGUGUAAAGUCCAAUGCCAACAUGGCUGAACUCUGCAGGUUUCAAGAAACCUAGACGUACUUAUUUGAGAGGAGAGGCGACAUACAGAUUUUAAAGUAAACUCAAAUUUUGCAAAUA
This is an RNA transcript of Myodes glareolus (Bank vole), 1568 nucleotides long. It is a transcript of the gene named CD1d molecule, with no coding region annotated. Lineage: Eukaryota; Metazoa; Chordata; Mammalia; Rodentia; Cricetidae. The record is from RefSeq and is a predicted model, not a curated record.